CGAGUCGACCGGGCGGUCGCGUCGACGGGCUCCGGCCCGUCGCCGAGGAACGUCCGGACUCCACAGGGCAGGGUGGUUGUUAACGGCAACCCGGGGCGACCCGCGGGACAGUGCCACAGAAAACAGACCGCCGACCCCGUACGGGGACGGUAAGGGUGAAACGGUGGGGUAAGAGCCCACCAGCACCCCGGGUGACCGGGGUGGCUCGGUAAACCCCACCCGGAGCAAGGCCAAGCAAGGGCCGUCAUCGCAAGCUGACGACCCGGCGCAGACGCUUGAGGGCUGCCCGCCCGAUGUCUGCGGGUAGGCCGCUGGAGCCUGCCGGCAACGGUAGGCCGAGAUGGAUGGCCGCCGCCGAUGCGGACCCCGCAAGGGGUACGCGUCGCGCACAGAAUCCGGCGUACAGGUCGACUCGUCCG
Molecule: non-coding RNA, 419 nt
Organism: Micromonospora yangpuensis
Lineage: Bacteria; Bacillati; Actinomycetota; Actinomycetes; Micromonosporales; Micromonosporaceae
Rfam family: Bacterial RNase P class A
About the family: Ribonuclease P (RNase P) is a ubiquitous endoribonuclease, found in archaea, bacteria and eukarya as well as chloroplasts and mitochondria.
Source: Rfam